GCUACUACGUGCAGCAGCGCGGUAUACGUAGGGUGCAAGCGUUGUCCGGAAUAUUGGGCGUAAAGAGCUCGUAGGCGGUUUGUCGCGUCUGCUGUGAAAUCCCGAGGCUCAACCUCGGGCCUGCAGUGGGUACGGGCAAACUAGAGUGUGGUAGGGGAGAUUGGAACUCCUGGUGUAGCGGUGGAAUGCGCAGAUAUCAGGAAGAACACCGAUGGCGAAGGCAGAUCUCUGGGCCAUUACUGACGCUGAGGAGCGAAAGCGUGGGGAGCGAACAGGAUUAGAUACCCUGGUAGUCACGCCGUAAACGUUGGGAACUAGAUGUAGGGUCCAUUCCACGGAUUCUGUGUCGCAGCUAACGCAUUAAGUUCCCCGCCUGGGGAGUACGGCCGCAAGGCUAAAACUCAAAGGAAUUGACGGGGGCCCGCACAAGCGGCGGAGCAUGCGGAUUAAUUCGAUGCAACGCGAAGAACCUUACCAAGGCUUGACAUAUACCGGAAAAGCGUAGAAAUACGCUCCCCGCAAGGUCGGUAUACAGGUGGUGCAUGGUUGUCGUCAGCUCGUGUCGUGAGAUGUUGGGUUAAGUCCCGCAACGAGCGCAACCCUCGUCCUAUGUUGCCAGCACGUAAUGGUGGGAACUCAUGGGAGACUGCCGGGGUCAACUCGGAGGAAGGUGGGGAUGACGUCAAAUCAUCAUGCCCCUUAUGUCUUGGGCUUCACGCAUGCUACAAUGGCCGAUACAGAGGGCUGCAAUACCGCAAGGUGGAGCGAAUCCCAAAAAGUCGGUCUCAGUUCGGAUUGAGGUCUGCAACUCGACCUCAUGAAGUCGGAGUCGCUAGUAAUCGCAGAUCAGCAACGCUGCGGUGAAUACGUUCCCGGGCCUUGUACACACCGCCCGUCAAGUCAUGAAAGUCGGUAACACCCGAAGCCAGUGGCCUAACCGCAAGGAAGGAGCUGUCGAAGGUGGGAUCGGUGAUUAGGACUAAGUCGUAACAAGGUAACCAAUC
This 1004-nucleotide ribosomal RNA is filed under the name uncultured bacterium. RNAcentral's name for it is "bacterial SSU rRNA". It matches the Rfam family "Bacterial small subunit ribosomal RNA", at positions 496 to 1505 of the family's 1533-position model. The record is from RNAcentral.